This 757-nucleotide long non-coding RNA is filed under the name Macaca mulatta (Rhesus monkey). RNAcentral's name for it is "lncRNA (ENSMMUG00000059992.1)". Lineage: Eukaryota; Metazoa; Chordata; Mammalia; Primates; Cercopithecidae. The record is from RNAcentral.
UGCUGGAAUUACAGGCGUGAGCCACCGCGCCUGGCUGCAAGGUAAUAUUUCUAAAAUGCAAGAAUUUUUGCUCUGUUAAAGUGUUUAAAUUGUGAAUUAUAAAGUGUCCUUAUUUCUCCACUUUGCAAUGACGAAUAAAAAGUGUCUGGGAAUGGGAUAGAAAGGAGGACAAUGACAGUGGAGAAAAGUAUAAAGAGCUUCAGGUACAAUCAGAUUUCUUCUCAAGAUAUCUAGCUACCCCAGAGGCAGUUUGGAAACCACAGCAAGCUUCAUUUGUGCAUAUUUAUUUAUGGUCUAUCCAAGGACAAAAUUUUCCAUACACUUAUCUUUGUAUAUUGGCUUUACUUAUCUCUGUCUCAUCAGGGGUCCUUCAGUGAAACUUGGCUGUUUUCCUGAUGGAGUACACAAUCUAUUUCCAAGCUAUACAUCUCACAAAUGUUAAAGGUCCCACUGUAUAAUUAUACACACACUUGAAGAUGGACACGACAACGUGAUGAAUAAUGAGAAACGAUGCCUGAAGUGUCUGCUACACAUUCAGUACUGAAGAGUCAAGAUUUUCUCCCUUUUCCUUUCACAACUCAACUAUCCUUUUCUUUUUCCUCAUCAUCCCCCAUCAGCAACAAGAAGGUAUUUAGUCUGAUUUUUUGUUAGGAACAGUAAGAAAUUUUUUCUAAUUUCUUUUUGGAUUGUAUUUCAUUUAAAUGUACAUUAUUGUUAAAUUACACAUCAUCUUUCCUUCCCCUCCUCAACUUGUUAU